RNAcentral lists this ribosomal RNA (1639 nucleotides) under Camelina sativa (false flax). RNAcentral describes it as "bacterial LSU rRNA". It matches the Rfam family "Bacterial large subunit ribosomal RNA", at positions 244 to 1999 of the family's 2925-position model. The record is from RNAcentral. Lineage: Eukaryota; Viridiplantae; Streptophyta; Magnoliopsida; Brassicales; Brassicaceae.
UAGUGGCGAGCGAAAUGGGAUGAGCCUGUACGUGAUAGUCGAUCGGAUAGUGGAAGCUUCUGGAAAUAAGCGCCAUAGCGGGUGAUAGCCCCGUACACGAAAUCCGAACGGUGGUACUAAGCGUACGACAAGUAGGGCGGGACACGAGAAAUCCUGUCUGAAUAUGGGGGGACCAUCCUCCAAGGCUAAAUACUCCUGAAAGACCGAUAGUGAACAAGUACUGUGAAGGAAAGGUGAAAAGCACUUCGAAUAGAAGGGUGAAAUAGAACCUGAAACCGUACGCCUACAAGCGGUCGGAGCAGAUUAAUUCUGUGACGGCGUGCCUUUUGCAUAAUGAGCCUACGAGUUAAUUUUACUAGCGAGGUUAAGGACUUCAGGUCCGGAGCCGGAGCGAAAGCGAGUCUGAAUAGGGCGUAUAGUUAGUAGGAUUAGACGCGAAACCUUGUGAUCUACCCAUGGGCAGGUUGAAGCUUUGGUAACACAAAGUGGAGGACCGAACCGGUUGACGUUGAAAAGUCUUCGGAUGACCUGUGGGUAGGGGUGAAAGGCCAAUCAAACUGGGAGAUAGCUCGUACUCUCCGAAAUGCAUUUAGGUGCAGCGUCGUAUAUAAGUUUAUUAGAGGUAGAGCUACUGAUUGGAUGCGGGGGUUUCACCGCCUACCAAUUCCUGACAAACUCCGAAUGCUAAUAAAUGUUCUACGGCAGUGAGGGCAUGGGUGCUAAGGUCCAUGUCCGAGAGGGAAAGAACCCAGACCAACAGCUAAGGUCCCCAAAUAUAUGUUAAGUUGAAGCAACGCGGUUGGACUGCAUUGACAGCUAGGAUGUUGGCUUGGAAGCAGCCAUUCAUUUAAAGAGUGCGUAACAGCUCACUAGUCGAGCGGUCCGGCAUGGAUAAUAAUCGGGCAUAAACAUAUUACCGAAGCUAUGGAUUUAUAAUUUUAUUAUAUCUGGUAGGAGAGCAUUCUGUUUGCGCCGAAGCAGUAUCGUGAGGUAUUGUGGAGCGGACAGAAAAGAAAAUGUAGGCAUAAGUAACGAUAAAGGGGGCGAGAAACCCCCUCACCGAAAGACUAAGGUUUCCUCAGCCAUGCUAAUCAGCUGAGGGUUAGUCGGGACCUAACGCGAACCCGAAAGGGGUAGUGGAUGGACAAUGGGUUAAUAUUCCCAUACUUGCUCACACUAAAAAGGGGACGGUUCGAUGUAGCUACUAAAGACGGACGGAAGUGUCAAGGCCUAGCCUUCGGGCGAAGCUGCUGUAGUGUAAUCGGAUCCAAGAAAAGCCGAAGUGAAGCAACCCGUACCAAAACCGACACAGGUGGUCGAGGAGAGAAUCCUAAGGUGCUCGAGUGAGUCGUGGCUAAGGAACUAGGCAAAAUAGUCUCGUAACUUCGGAAGAAGAGACGCCAUCAGCAAUGGUGGCCGCAGUGAAGAGGCCCAGGCGACUGUUUAUCAAAAACACAGGACUCUGCUAAAUCGAAAGAUGCUGUAUAGGGUCUGACACCUGCCCGGUGCUGGAAGGUUAAGGAAGGGCGUUAGGGUAACCGAAGCGUUUGACUGAAGUCCCAGUAAACGGCGGCCGUAACAAUAACGGUCCUAAGGUAGCGAAAUUCCUUGUCGGGUAAGUUCCGACCUGCACGAAUGG